UGUGAGGAGGCAUGUUGUGGUUAACAUCGAGUCAGGGUGCCUACCUUUGUAUUUGAAUCUGUGAGAUCUGGACCGUCAACCGCCAUGACCAUGAUCAACACGUCCUCGGCCUCCCAGACGAGGAUGGAAUGAGCAGGGCAAGAGAAGAGGAGGGAGCAGGCCGACGCCCGACGGCGACCUGACCAUCCUCCUGGAUCUCACCGGCAACCCCCUGGCCUGGAGGCCGCCCGCCCGCCCGCCGUCAGUGCGGGGCCUGCGGCACCACUUCCUCGUGCUCCUCCUUAACAUCCAGGACCAGGACGACCACCGGGACCUCCAUGACGACGAUGAAGCCCCGCACAUGGUCGAGCUCGAUGGAACAACAGUGCCUCGGUGUGGUGCAGCCGAGUUGGGCCAACGACUACGUUAUGGUCCUCGUUAUGGUCGAGUUUUUGUUUUGACCUUGUGAAACUUGCUACCUAUGGAUGAAACUGUGUAAUAUUGAUGAAACUAUGUAUAUGUACGGAUGAAACUUGCUACUA
Molecule: long non-coding RNA, 521 nt
Organism: Triticum dicoccoides
Lineage: Eukaryota; Viridiplantae; Streptophyta; Magnoliopsida; Poales; Poaceae
Exons: 3
Source: RefSeq, a predicted model, not a curated record